This 465-nucleotide ribosomal RNA is filed under the name uncultured bacterium. Its description in RNAcentral is "partial 16S ribosomal RNA". It matches the Rfam family "Bacterial small subunit ribosomal RNA", at positions 28 to 507 of the family's 1533-position model. The record is from RNAcentral.
GACGAACGCUGGCGGCGUGCUUAACACAUGCAAGUCGAACGGAAAGGCCCUGCUUGCAGGGUACUCGAGUGGCGAACGGGUGAGUACACGUGGGUGAUCUGCCCUGCACUUCGGGAUAAGCCUGGGAAACUGGGUCUAAUACCGGAUAGGAGCCAUUUUUAGUGUGAUGGUUGGAAAGUUUUUUUCGGUGUAGGAUGAGCUCGCGGCCUAUCAGCUUGUUGGUGGGGUAAUGGCCUACCAAGGCGGCGACGGGUAGCCGGCCUGAGAGGGUGGACGGCCACAUUGGGACUGAGAGACGGCCCAGACUCCUACGGGAGGCAGCAGUGGGGAAUAUUGCACGAUGGGCGCAAGCCUGAUGCAGCGACGCCGCGUGGGGGAUGACGGCCUUCGGGUUGUAAACUCCUUUCGCUAGGGACGAAGCUUUUUGUGACGGUACCUAGAUAAGAAGCACCGGCUAACUACGUG